UGAAAAUAAAAUGCUUCGCUGGGGCGCAGCUUGAUACGACCGCAGAGGUCGAACCCUGAACAGUUGGGGCAAGUAUGGACACAACAUUCAAGCUUGAUACAGCUCUGAAUUUGGAUUGUUAUUAAAUAUUUGACACAGCAUAGGUUUCUGACACAGAAAGAAUGUGGUCUAAGAAUUUGAAUUUUUUUUAAUUUACCUAUUAUGGUCCAAUGUCCAAAAUCAAAAUACAUGGUUAGAUUCAGCAUAUCAAAGAACCCCAUAUAUUCAAUUUUUGUUAAAAUCAAACAAAGUUUAAUUUUGGACCCCAACAUGGACAAACUUGAAAACUGGGCCCAUAAUCGAAAAUCUAAACACAUGUUUAGAUUCAGCAUAUCAAAGAACCCCAAGAAUUCAAUUUUUGCUAAAAUCAAACUAAGUUUAAUUUUGGACCCUUUGGACCUUAAUGUAGACCAAUUUAAAAAACGGGACUUAAAAUUAAAAAUCUAAAUACACGGUUAGAUUUGGAAUAUCAAAGAACCCCAAUAAUUCAAUUUUUGAUGAAAUCAAACAAAGUUUAAUUUUGGACCCUUUUGACCUCAAUAUGAACCAAUUUGAUAGCGGGGCCCACAAAUAAAAAAUCUAAAUUCAUGGUUAGAUUCAGCAUAUCAAAGAACCCCAUAUAUUCAAUUUUUGUUGAAAUCAAACAAAGUUUAAUUUUGGACCCCAACUUGGACCAACUUGAAAACUGGGCCCAUAAUCAAAAAUCUAAACACAUGUUUAGAUUCAGCAUAUCAAAGAACCCCAAGAAUUCAAUUUUUGUUAAAAUCAAACUAAGUUUAAUUUUGGGCCCUUUGGACCUCAAUGAAGACCAAUUUAAAAAACGGGACCCAAAUUAAAAAUCUAAAAACACGGUAAGAUUUGGCAUAUCAAAGAACCCCAAUAAUUCAAUUUCUGAUGAAAGCAAACAAAGUUUAAUUUUGGACCCUUUUGACCUCAAUAUGAACCAAUUUGAAAGCGGGGCCUACAAAUAAAAAAUCUAAAUACAUGGUUAGAUUCAGCAUAUCAAUGAACCUCAUAUAUUCAAUUUUUGUUGAAAUCAAACAAAGUUUAAUUUUGGACCCCAAUUUGGACCAACUUGAAAACUGGGCCCAUAAUCAAAAAUCUAAAUACAUGUUUAGAUUCAGCAUAUCAAAGAACCCCAUAUAUUCAAUUUUUGUUGAAAUCAAACAAACUUUAAAUACUGGACCCUAUCUUGGACCAACUUGAAAACUGGGCCCAUAAUCAAAAAUCUAAACACAUGUUUAGAUUCAGUAUAUCAAAGAACCCCAAGAAUUCAAUUUUUGUUAAAAUCAAACUAAGUUUAAUUUUGGACCCUUUGGACCUUAAUGUAGACCAAUUUAAAAAACAGGACCCAAAAUUAAAAAUCUAAAUACACGGUUAGAUUUGGAAUAUCAAAGAACCCCAAUAAUUCAAUUUUAGAUGAAAUCAAACAAAGUUUAAUUUUGGACCCUUUUGACCUCAAUAUGAACCAAUUUGAUAACGGGGUCCACAAAUAAAAAAUCUAAAUACAUGGUUAGAUUCAGCAUAUCAAAGAACCCCAUAUAUUCAAUUUUUGUUGAAAUCAAACAAAGUUUAAUUUUGGACCCCAAUUUGGACCAACUUGAAAACUGGGCCAAAAAUCAAAAAUCUAAAUACAUGUUUAGAUUCAGCAUAUCAAAGAACCUCAUAUAUUCAAUUUUUGCUAAAAUCAAACAAAGUUUAAUUUUGGACCCUUUGGACCUUCAAAUGGAUUUUUUUGUAAAAAAAAAAAGAUGCAACAUUUGCAGAUAUUUUUACUGGUCUUCCUUUAUAAAUAUGCAUUUCUUUACACAUAAUUUAAAAGCAGUGUAAGGGAAGUAACCAAAACGUUGUAUUUGGAUUACCUCCCUUACACUGUUUUAAAUUAUCUUUAUUGUUCAUUAACCAUUACUUUAUACAUAAUUUAAAAGCAGUGUAAGGGAGAUAAUUUCAAUGAUGUAUUUGAUUUAUCUCCCUUACACUGCUUUAAAUUAUGUUUUGAACUAAAGUAUUUGUCCAUUAACCAGGACAACCUUUUUUUUUCCCUUUUUUGCCCCUAAUUCCUAAACGGUUUGAGCCAUAACCCCCCAAAGCAAAUCCUAACCAUCCCUUUGUGGUAUGGAAACUUGUAGUAUAAUUUCAGAGAGAUCCAUACACUGUUCCACAGUUAUUGUCUGGAAACUAGAAAAUGCUUAUUUUUGGGCCCUUUUUGGCCCCUAAUUCCUUAACUGUUGGUACCAUAAACCCCAAAA
Molecule: long non-coding RNA, 2288 nt
Organism: Mytilus californianus (California mussel)
Lineage: Eukaryota; Metazoa; Mollusca; Bivalvia; Mytilida; Mytilidae
Exons: 2
Source: RefSeq, a predicted model, not a curated record